AUGAAGCUUCCUUCGAGAUACUCUCCCCUCAAGAAUAAAGAGAUUGAACUAAAAGGACCGAGGCAACAUGAACAUGUCAAAGAAGAGCACUUAACUGACUUGCGAAGCAAACGUAGCAGCUACAAACGUGGGCGAGGAGGCCGUGAUCAAGGAUAUGCUACAAAGUGGCAAAGAAGAGUGCCUGGUCUUAAAUCUUAUUCAAAUAGGCGUAAUGUUAGGGAAACUGGUAAAUUUAAUCUAGGAUCUAAACAGGGGCGAAGGACAAAUGCUAAAUCUUCUGGUCGUGGUCUUCGAACAGUUAGGAGGAGGAGGGUAGAAAUGAUGGUAGCUGAGGAGCCAUUGAUUGGUCGUAUGACAAGCACUGUUGGCCCAAGGAGCUAUGGUGGAUCAUUAAGGAACUUGGGUGAGGAAAAUUGGGGCGCUGAAAAAGUCAGGACGGAUGCGGAUUUGGGUAUGGAUGUGGAUGUGGAUGUGGAUGUGGAUGUAGAUUUAGAUGAUGCUGAUAAUAACAGUGUGGAAGCAGGAGAAUCUGAUGAUAAUGUUGAAGCAGAGGGAUAUGAGCAAAGAAAUUGGGAGCAAAGUUUUAAUGGAGCCUCCAAUAGGUGGAAUAGAACUGUAAUGGAAGUGAGUGAUGAUGAUGGAGAUGCUUCCGGAGAUGAUAAUGGCAUUGAAGAAAUGGGAGCUGAAGAGUCAGAGGGAGACAUAGAGAUAAGUGAGGGUUCAGAUGGAGUAGGAAAUAAGAUAGAGAAUGAGGAAGGCACAGACUCAGCAGUUUCAGAUUUCUCUAGUGACUGAUCAUUAUCCCAUUGAUAAAGUCUCAGCAGCGGCUUUGCUCGUGAGCUGCAUUAUUUUUGGUCUUUGCAGCGUGACCAGCGGUGGAAUUUAUGCAUAAGACAACGGAGAAACAAGGUUGCCCCUUCCAAUUUAUUGCAAUAUCAGGCAGAAUGUAGAAGUAAAAUAGUAUAUCCUUGUUGUAAUUCAUUAUUGUUAACGAGCAUUGGAUUGUAAGCUAAGCAUGUGCCCUGAAAAAUGAGUUUUUUUUUGAAAAAAA
RNAcentral lists this unclassified non-coding RNA (1051 nucleotides) under Hevea brasiliensis (rubber tree). The record is from RNAcentral. Lineage: Eukaryota; Viridiplantae; Streptophyta; Magnoliopsida; Malpighiales; Euphorbiaceae.